RNAcentral lists this non-coding RNA (31 nucleotides) under Mus musculus (house mouse). The record is from RNAcentral. Lineage: Eukaryota; Metazoa; Chordata; Mammalia; Rodentia; Muridae.
UGCAUGAUGUGCCCUAAUAACAGAAGGCCUU